Oncorhynchus mykiss (rainbow trout) is the source of this 5171-nucleotide non-coding RNA. Lineage: Eukaryota; Metazoa; Chordata; Actinopteri; Salmoniformes; Salmonidae. The record is from RefSeq and is a predicted model, not a curated record.
GGCCAGGUCACAGUUGUAAAUGAGAACUUGUUCUCAACUGGCCAACCUGGUUAAAUAAAGGUAAAAUAAAUUAAAAAAAGACUCUCCUAUAAAGUGCUUCAUACUUUAGCACAGAGCUGGCUUAUUUUUGUAAGAUAAUUUUUUUCAAACAGUACAAAAUAUACACAUACAAACGACCACAUGCAAACACACACAAACAUCAAUAACAUCACCCUGCCCAGAUGCCCAAAUGACCUGACCUAUUUUCAUUAACUAUUCAUGUUUCUAUUUAAAGAUGGAUUGGCGUUUUUCAUGGAAAACUCUCUCAUUUGGCCUCUCUUUUAUUGCUGACUCCCACACUGCUGUCCUGCUCUUUUCCCCACUGCCCUGGUCAUGUUGCUUUGGGAACAUUGCUUGAUCAGUACAAGAGUCAUUUUAGUAAGAGGCCUGAGGCAAAAAUAUGUCCCAGCUAGCAUAUUUGGUUCCUUGGAAGUUGGUGGAACAUAUGUUUAUGGUUUCACAUUGGUUGUGGGAAGGAAGCCAAAUGUUUCCUGACCAGUUAAACCAAAAGUUUUUCAAAUGUUCUGAGAACAGACUUGAACAUUUAGCCCAUUCUGGGAGCAUAUAUUUUUAGGUUGCAGGGAGGUUCUGAGUACAUUCUAUUCUGGUUCCUUGAAAGUUUUCGUGGGUGGUUUUAUUAAUGCUCUGAGAUCUGAAAUGGUAGGUUAUUUGGAGGUUUUUAAAUACCUUUCUUAAAACUUUCUUUAAAUGUCUCAAUAAUACUGUUCACUUUUUUGAACUCCAACACAGAUAAGACACAUAGGAAUUCAUUUCCUUAGGCAUUAUUGUUUAAUUUUAUUGUGACACAUCAUCAGUGAGAUUCAAACCUAUAAUAUUCUGGUCUCUAUGAAUGGAAUUAGUCCACUGUUCCACCAAGAUGGAGCUAGCAUGCCAGGUUGUUUUACGCAUUCAAAGCUGUUCAUUUUAGUCUAUUCAAACAGACCGCCUUUCAAAGGAAACAAGCACUCAUUAAGAUCAGGUGGCAAAAUAGUGGGCGCGGCAAACACAUAUGAACACACUUAGAGGAUAGAGAGAGUUUUGUUGAUGCUACGUAAUGUAUACGUUUUUAAAUUACAUUCUUAUAACGUUCCCUGAACGUUACUAAAGUGUUCUUGUGGGAAGGUUCUAUGUAAAAUAACCAUAGGACAACCAUGCUCACACCAAGCUCUAAGAAACAUAUUGUUCUCAGAACGUUAUGUGCUAGCUGGGGUGUAACUAAGAAUAUUUUUGAAAGGUGACAUAAACUGUGAUAUGUGUCAGUCAUUCACAUAGCAGCAGAUUUCUGGCUAACCAAAAGAGUCAGAAAAUAGUUAUGCAGUGCUGAAGCAGGUAGGUAGUGACCUCAAGGUUGGGGGGAUUAUGGGAACACCGGAGGGCAGAGAGAGACAAGGGAGGUGACGCCGGGGGCUAUUUUUCUAUUCAUUUCUCUUUCCCUCUCUCCCUCUCCCUCCAUCAUGCCUGUGGCCUCAAAAGAGAGGUCAGGGAUAUGGUCAGGGUUGGCGUCAGUGCUUUUUCUGCCUGAGAGCACCAUGAAAGGGGCACCCCAUCAAACAGCAGAUGAACUACUCCAUAAUAUGUGUGUGUGCCUGUAUUAUUGUGUAAGCGUGUGUGUGUGUAUGUGUGUUUGUUAUUCACAUUCUCCUACAUUUUGGCCUUCCUCUCCUUAUUUACACAUUCAUGAAUACACAUCAAUGUGUUUCUGCGUUUGAACUCCCUCCACCUCUGUUUGACUUUGGCUCUGAUGUUGGCAGUUGUGAGCGUGCUCAGUUUGUUUCACGCUGCCACGCACUACCUCCCCUUCAUAGCGGCAGUGCUCUGGGCUCCUCUCAGAAAGGUUCUGGUUCUGGAACACUGACAUACAAUAUUGAUCUGUCCAUCCCAUCCUUCCAAUUCCAUGUCAAACAAUCACAUAGACCUCUGAGGUCCUCCAUAAUCUUUUCCAGAGUUCGGUUGGGUUUUUUCUUUGCUGUCUGUACUGUAAUUGUCAUUAGUUCAGCUUGAUUUGUUGUUUGGUUCUUUUUCUUUCAGUUGUGGGUAAUACAUAUUUUAUGUUUCGAACUCUCUUUAGUGUGUUAUAAUCUUGCCUAACUGUGGCAUGUCUUUGCCUUUUCUGCACUUUUUCAGGUGUACGAUUCAAAAUAUAUAUAUAUUUUAAAUCAUUGAAGCCCACACAUUGUCUUUUGAAAAACUCUUAUGUCAGAGAGAAGAGAAGAAGUUAAAGGGAGCGAGAGAGAAAGAGAGAGAGGGAUGGAGAGAGAGGGAUGGAGAUAGGGAUGGAGAGAGGGAAAGAGAGAGAGGGAUGGAGAGAGGGAAAGAGGAAGGGAGAAGGGGGUGAGGUAAGGACAGGGGUUUAUCAUUAGCAUAUCUAAGGAGAAGGUAGAAGAAAGGGAUGGAACGUCCUAUUUUGCUCUUUGACAGAUAACAGUCUAAAGCCCUGUCUUGUUUCCAAGCAAUAACAAAUAUAUAUCCCUCCCUUCUUCUUUCGUCCCCGCUCUUGUUUUCCUAGGAGAAAUAUGCUUACUCCUGGCGAACAGGGGAAGUCAUAUUGUCCCGUGAGGAGCCGUGAAGAGCUCUUUGAUACAUUGAGAUUAUUACAGGGCUCUGUCAGAUUUUCCUGCUGGCCUGUGUGUGUGUGUGUGUGUGUGUGUGUGUGUGUGUGUGUGUGUGCCCAUGCAUAAGAGACAUAAGCAGUCGCUAGGGGGCCCCGACCAGGAACUCAGUCGGGGUCUCAAUGUAAUAUUGAGAGUAAGAAUAGCAGAAUAUAGAAGGAGCCAUUUCAAAAUUUGGUUGUGCAUCAGCAGGUUUUCUAUUGUUGUCAGUCACUGACAGUCACUCAAUGAGCUAUGUGAGCUAAUGAUUUGUAGAUGGUAAGAUAGUCUAGCCAGCUAUCUAAACUUGUAGUAAUCAUGACCGAAUACUCACCUGGGUAUGCAGUGUACGUGCCCAGGGGCCCUGACCUCCAGGGGCCCCCAUUGAUUUUGUUAGUCACUCUCAUUCACAUAUUAUAUUAACAUGGCAUAAGUCAUGGCAAAAUGUGUUGAAUUGCAGGAAAUGAGCUUUAAAACUGCAAACAUUUCUCUCCACCCCAUGGCAAAAUGUGUAGAAUUGUAGGAAACUUGCUUUAAUAAAAACUGUGCCAUUUUCUCUAUGCACCAUAGCAACAUUUGUAGAAUUGCAGGAAUUCUACAUUAAAACGUAAAUGUUUCUCUCUGCCGUCAAGAGGUGGGCCACUAAAAUGCAUGUCAUUCAAUUGUUGGAGACUUCCUCGUCGUCAGUCAUUCUGGAUGGACUGAGUGUGGAAAGCUAAAAGAAAUGCUAAUUAGAUUUUGGAGGUCCGACUCUUCCGAGUUUUUGGCAGUCUCAGAGAGUUUGCUUCGAUCGUCACCACGUGAAGUGAUUAUGCUGCAAAUGGCCCUUUUGUUAUCUUGGGGAGGCAGUCAGUUGUAAAUAGCUGCAGAGUUAUCUGAGCAGCACAGUCAGUCGGAGAGGAAACGAGUAAUUGGAUAAUUAAUUUAGUCUUGGACAGGUCAAACGGGUUUUCCUCAUCUGCUUUUCCUUUCCGGCACUCGCUCUGUGGCAAGGUCUCCAGGACACGUGAUUAAUGUGUGUGUGUGUGUGUGUGUGUGUGUGUGUGUAUGUGUGUGUGUUGGCUGUGUGUGAUUGAUAUGUGCCAUGGACGGAUAAUUACAGCGCAUUCAUCUCCCCUCUCCCUCUCUCCCUCACCCUCUCUCCCUUUCACCCUCUAGACAUGCAGGAUGGGUAAUGAUGAUGACAUGAGAGGUUGUUUCAAAUGACAUGUUGUUGUUUCACCAUAUUUAAAGGGAUAGUUUACUCAGAAUACAAACUAAUAUGAUUUUCAACCUACCUUGGCUGCAGUUGAUUCAAUAAGGCAGUUUUGGGAUUUUAGUUUCCUUUCAACACUUGAUAGCCAUAUUUGGUUACUGUUAGCAAUCUCAGUAACACUUAACAUUAAACUGUUCUUGUGCCUGUGUAAUAAUCUGUAAUUACUUUUGGAGCAACAUUUUAUUAGCAUGUUGUUACAUUUCAUUUCAAUUGCAUAGCAAUGAGCUGAGAGUUUUUGUAACUACUGAACACAAGAGGAAUAGUGACUGUUCCUUAUUCCACUUCUGUCGUAACUCCAUUAUUAUGCAAUUAUAAAGCAAUUUCCAAAAUCCUAUGUAAUAACAAUGUGCUAUUGUAAUAAUCACACGGUUAGUAUGUCAUGAUAAAAUGAAAUCAAAUGAAAAUGUUGCUCUUACUUUUUUUUCACAUAUAAGUUUUGUUUUGGAGCGUCACUGGGUGGAUUCAUAGGAGCAUUGCCGAUAAUCACUGGAGUGUAACAAUGGGAGGAACCAGAACAACUCACAGCCCGAUUGCCUUGCAGAAGCAGCAUGGGGGAAGAACCGCGUGGGGCAUUGAUGAGGAAGGAACUCAGACGAACAGUGAAGUAAGGGAAGUGCAUCGUUUUGAACUAUUUUCCACUGGACUGGGUGAUUUUAAAGAAUGGAUUUUGGACUUUAAGGAGUAGACUGGUUUAUUGUAAAUAUAUAUAUUCAAAGACAAUUAUGUGGCAUUGUACUGCUCAAUAUUUCUUUGUGCCUCAGGCCUAACCCAGAGGUGGUGAAUCUGGAGUGGACAGAGCAGAAGGAAUACCAUGAAAGGACUUCCCCACCUCUUAAAAUUCAACUUUAGCCAAUUAGCCUGGUCUGUCAGAACCUUGACCUCGUCUGUAGAGAGGGCCCCAGACAGACAGACAGCGCUAAACAGCACCCCCGCUGGCCUGGAAGGUCCACAGCACCCAGAACAGCCUUCACAGCUUUCACAGCCCAGGGCCAAUAUCCAUUGCAUCUCAGUUUUGCAAUUUAGAUAAUAAUAAAUAAGAUUAUAUGGAUAGGGGGGGACCUGAUCCUAGAUCAGCACUCCUAUGCUGAGAGGCUUUGUGAACACAGGCACAGAGUAGCCUUCACAGACUCACAGACAGGGAUCUUUACAGGCAGCUGGAAUAUGGAUCACAUGAACAAUUAAUUCAAUCAGAGACGCCUGCCAGAUUCCUUCCGUUAGAUUAAAAAUAGAAAUAUAAUAUCCCUUCCUCAUGCAAUGUAAAUUCAAAUUAAUUAAAACUGUAUAUCAUU